RNAcentral lists this unclassified non-coding RNA (168 nucleotides) under uncultured Leptodontidium. RNAcentral describes it as "sequence contains ITS1". The record is from RNAcentral. Lineage: Eukaryota; Fungi; Ascomycota.
CCGAGUUCAUGCCCUCACGGGUAGAUCUCCCACCCUGUGUUAUUAUUACCUUUGUUGCUUUGGCGGGCCGUCGGGCUUCGGCCCGGCUACCGGCUCCAGCUGGUAAGCGCCCGCCAGAGGACCCUAAACUCUGAAUAUUAGUGUCGUCUGAGUACUAUAUAAUAGUUA